GGCACCAUGGCCUAAUGGUAAGGCGUUGCUUUCCGGUGAAGGAUUUGGCAAAGAUUGAGGGUUCGAGUCCCUCUGGUGUCG
RNAcentral lists this transfer RNA (81 nucleotides) under Kalmusia sp. IMI 367209. RNAcentral describes it as "tRNA-Arg". It matches the Rfam family "tRNA". Rfam says of the family: Transfer RNA (tRNA) molecules are approximately 80 nucleotides in length. Their secondary structure includes four short double-helical elements and three loops (D, anti-codon, and T loops). Lineage: Eukaryota; Fungi; Ascomycota; Dothideomycetes; Pleosporales; Didymosphaeriaceae. The record is from RNAcentral.